RNAcentral lists this ribosomal RNA (301 nucleotides) under uncultured bacterium. RNAcentral describes it as "partial 16S ribosomal RNA". It matches the Rfam family "Bacterial small subunit ribosomal RNA", at positions 509 to 808 of the family's 1533-position model. The record is from RNAcentral.
CAGUAGCCGCGGUAAUACGUAGGUGGCAAGCGUUGUCCGGAAUUAUUGGGCGUAAAGCGCGCGCAGGCGGUUUCUUAAGUCUGAUGUGAAAGCCCCCGGCUUAACCGGGGAGGGUCAUUGGAAACUGGGAGACUUAGAGUGCAGAAGAGGAGAGUGGAAUUCCAUAUGUAGCGGUGAAAUGCGUAGGUAUAUGGAGGAACACCAGUGGCGAAGGCGACUCUCUGGUCUGUAACUGACGCUGAGGCGCGAAAGCGUGGGGAGCAAACAGGAUUAGAUACCCCCGUAGUCCCUGUCUCUUAUA